This 343-nucleotide ribosomal RNA is filed under the name Acidobacteria bacterium enrichment culture clone C33_08_H38. RNAcentral describes it as "bacterial SSU rRNA". It matches the Rfam family "Bacterial small subunit ribosomal RNA", at positions 15 to 354 of the family's 1533-position model. Lineage: Bacteria; Pseudomonadati; Acidobacteriota. The record is from RNAcentral.
GAUCCUGGCUCAGAAUCAACGCUGGCGGCGUGCCUCAGACAUGCAAGUCGAACGAUUAAAGCUCUCUUCGGAGAGUGUAUAGAGUGGCGCACGGGUGAGUAACACGUAAGUAAUCUACCCUCGAGUGGGGAAUAACGUCCGGAAACGGACGCUAAUACCGCAUAAUGCAGCGGCACCGCAAGGUGACAGUUGUUAAAGAUUUAUCGCUUGAGGAGGAGCUUGCGGCAGAUUAGCUAGUUGGUAAGGUAAUGGCUUACCAAGGCUACGAUCUGUAACCGGUCUUAGAGGACGGUCGGUCACACUGACACUGAAUAACGGGUCAGACUCCUACGGGAGGCAGCAG